AGUACUGCCCUUGGAACCAAUGCAACAAGAACGUAAGUAUCUUUUAUUAGAUUCUAUGUCUUGCCACUAUCACCGUAUUCUAUGAAAUUGGAUGGCUCAGCAAACAUAUUAUUCUGAUGGUUUUCUAGAUAUUUAGCAUUCACCAUUUUGGUUGAGGUUACAUAUAUAUGAUUAUGAUCCCAAAGUUUUUUUUCUAUUUGCAGAAACCAUCAACAAUUAAGCUGGUGGACAUUACCUUCAGGAAUAUUAGAGGAACAUCAGGGAACAAGGACGCAGUAAAACUAUUGUGCAGCAAGGGACAUCCAUGUGAGAACGUUGAGAUUGGAGACAUUAACAUUGAGUACACAGGACCUGACGGUCCACCCACUUUCGAGUGCACAAACGUCACACCUAAGCUUGUGGGAACCCAGAACCCAAAGGCUUGCGUUGGACCUGUGGUCAAGGCUCCUGGCAAAGAGUAAAAUGUUGAAGCUCAUAUCAACACACUAGGGCUUCCACAUCCAAUUUUGUUUAUUCUUUUUCUAAUCCUUUUUCAAGUCACGUAAGGGAGACUUUUACAAAGCUGUAACAAAAAAAUGUUUCUAUCCGAUGCCAACACAUAUAUAGAUGUGUGAGUGCAUAAUGAUGUAAUUAAUAAAACUAAAUUAUAUAUUCUGCGUAUGAUUGUUUCUUUUUAAAAUAUUAAUAUGCGCGGUAAGUUGUAUACACUUCAAUCUUAAUUUUGUUUUCUUUUCCGAAUCUUAAAAUUAUUUAACAAGAUCUGAUUUCAACCUUAAGAUUAAUUUAACUAAUACAGUAUUAGUUUUUUUUUUUUGAGAACUCAUUUUAAACUAGAACUCAAAUCAUUUCAAUAAUAGUUCACUAACAUGUAGUAUUCUUUCCAAGUUAUACUGAACUAGAACUCAAAGAUACACUUGUUCAUACAUAACCGAUGCAAGCAUUUGGACAACGAAACAUGACAUCGUCAUAAGUAAUCUGAUUGGAAAUGUAAUUUUCAAUCAAACUUUCGCUCUUUGCUUAUGAUCUCUUUGGAAAAAAUUUCACUUGAUAAUAUGAGGUGCAUACUCUUCCUCUCUACUUUGGUUCAAUGCUCCUUAAACAUGUUGGAUACUUUUUUAGGCUUCAAUAUAAAAAAGAAGUUAGGAAAAAUUUAUUGAUAUUGUUAGUAAUAUUACUUCUAUGAUAUUGGUACUUCAAAAGAAGCAUGAGUUAUUAUAGAAACUAGGUUAAGAUCUCUGUUUUGCGCAUGAUGAAUUUUAUGUAUACAAAUGAUAUUUUUCUAUUUUUAUUAUUUAUUUUGUGUUUAUUUAUUUCAUAUUUAUAUAAUUAAAUUAGAGUAAACACAUAAAUCAAAACUAUACCUCCUUUUAUUUCUAAUUUUUUUCAUAAAUAAAUCAAUCGUUUUAUUUAUUUUAUAUGAAAUAUAAUUAAUUUGAAUGAUAAUGACAUAGAUAUCUAGUAAAAUUUAAUAUAACUUAUUAAUUGAGAUUUCCUACUCAUAUAAUCUUAUUAACAUUUGUAUAUAUUGCUGUAAAAAAAAUUAAACCAUUAAUUACAAAACUUUCAAUGUGAGAUUUAUUUCAAUACAAAAUUUUAAAUUGAAAUAUUAAGGUCUCAAUACUUUUAAAAUGUAAAUUUCAAAAUUAACGUAUUUAUGUAUUUUUAUAUGGUAUAUAGUUUAAUUUAAACGAUAUUAAGAUAUAUAUAUAUAUAUAUAUUUAAUAUGAAUAUCUAUUAAAUGAGACUUUAUAUUCAUACAAUUUUAUGAUCAUUUUGUAUCUUGUUAUAACAAAAAAAAGUAGUUAAACCAUUGAUUACAAAAUUUCAAUAUGGGCUUUUAACAUUUUUUAGUAAUUUAUAGUUUUUUAAAAUUCAUAAUAUAACAUAUAAGAAAGAGUCUAUAUUUUAAGUAUAUGGUUAAUGUGAUUGUAUAAUUUCUUUUAAUAAUAUAAAAUUAAAUAAAAUAGAUGGAGGUUACAAAAAUUGUUAUCAAAUCUUUAUUAUUCAUAAUCAUUAGUUUUCGUAUAUAUGUUAAUCAUAUUAGGUAAUUUCGUAACUUUUAUUUAGAGAAAUAAUGAAAAUAUUCUUUUGAACAUACAUUACUAAUCAAUUUGAUAGUUAGUUUAAUAAUAAGAUAUAAUAUAUGUUUCGAUAGACCAUCUAUUUUUUUAAGGAUCCUAAGCAUCAUUGUUGUAUUAAUACGUGGAUACAAAAAAAUGUUGCAAUGCUUUUCAAAUAUAUAAAUGAUUAUGUGGUUGAAAGAAAUUAGAAAAAUGCAAUGCAGUUAAGUAAUGAGGAACGAUUGAUUUUUGUUAUUAAAAGACGGAAGUCACGAACCACAUUAAUUAAAGUCAUCGAUUACUGACUGAUGACAACAUAUUUGACAAACAAUAAUAGAAGUUACAUAUAUUAACGCAUAAAGUUACAAAAUACAUAUACAUAUUUGACAAACAAUAAUAGAAGCGACGAAAUACAAACAAACACCUAAAACAAUUAAUUUUCAAAUACAGUCCAGGUUCUCCGAAAGUCGUUUGCUUUGAAAUGCUCUUUUUUAACUUAGUCAUAAACAUCUUCAUCUUUAUAACAUUAAUUAUUUCUUUUAUGAACUGGUUUGCCUUUUUUUCUUCAUGAUAUUGGGUUCAAUAGUUCCAACUUUUGCCUUUUGAAUUGUGUAAAUCUAUUUCACUAUUUGUUGACCAUUUGCAAUUCUUGCUUUUCUUUCAUCAUAUCAUUUUUUGUUGUAUACAUUUCCCUUGAAUGAUGACUAACUUAUACAAAAUUGGAAUCACUUGCAUCAUUUUCGUGGAUUCUUUUAAACCCACUUCUGCCUGACUACAAGAACAUAUUUAAUCACAGAUGAUGACGAGCCCCAUUCCAACAUGUUGAAAUGUAUAGUCUUGGCACUUGAACAUAGCUCAUGCGUUUUUUUUGUCAAUAUAUCAUUAUUCUCUGAUCAUCCAUUUUGUUACAUAGACUUUGCUAUUGUCAGUGCCAACCAUUAUUCCGAUAGUUUUUUCAUGUGGUGUAGUAAUUUUUCUAAACGAAGCAAUUACUGUUCUCUAACAAUUUUGAAAACCAACCAAUGCUAACGUCCAUAUAUAUUUUCCGCAGCCUGCACAACAGGAUUAUCAGAACGUAAAUCUCCUGAAUUUCUUUAAGUUCUAGUACCUUAUAAAAUUCUACUAACAAUUUGAUAUCUUUUUAGAUGGUGUAAAUGUAAUAACAUAAGUUGGCUAGAAACUAACCUCCCAAAAAUAGAGGUAUCAUGCAAAUGCUAUAAACACGAGUGGAACAAGUCUUAUGCCUAACAAUUGAACGCUAAUUUCCCAAAAUUAAAGUAACCUAGCUAAUACUUCCUUAAAAAUGGGUCAAACAUUCUAAAAAAUGAGAAGUUGGGAGAAAGUAUGGGCCUUCAACAUAUCUCUCCAUUUAACGCACUAUAUAAAGCAGCAGGUGCGUAGUAAAAAUCUCAGAAAACAAAAAUUAAAAGACAAUAAAAAAUAAAAAUAAAUAAAUAAAUAUGGGUUCAUAUUUGGGAAUCUAUACAAUUUUGGUUCUAUGUUUGCUAAAAUAAAAAUGGGUUCAUAUAUGGGAAUAUGUACAAUUUUUGUUCUAUGUUUGCUGGGAUAUUCAGCCAAUGCUGAGGUGUUCACCGCUGGUGGUCCUCCAAAUUCUGAUAUUACCGCGGUUAGUAUCUUCACUUGUUUUUUAUUACUUGAAUUCCAAUCAAUGUGUAAACCAUUUCUUAUAUUAACAUACUCGUGGGAGCUAUUGUUGCAGGCAGUUCUUAAAGCAUUCACAUCGGCAUGCCAAGCUCCGGCACCAAGCCAGGUGCUGAUCCCAAAAGGUGACUUCAAGCUUGGUGAGACCGUGAUGACUGGUCCAUGCAAAUCUCCAAUCGAGUUCACCUUGCAAGGCAACGUGAAAGCUGACGGUGGCUCUACCCAGGGAAAGGAUAGAUGGGUUGUGUUCGAAAAAAUUAAUGGUUUUAAGUUGAACGGAGGUGGAACAUUUGACGGUGAAGGCAAUGCAGCUUGGAAAGCCAACAACUGCCACAAGACUUUUGAGUGCAAGAAACUUCCCAUCGUAGGUGUUUCCGUCUUUAAUAUAUUAACACCAAUGGCUUUUUUUAAAGAUGAUAUAAUUCAGUGAUGCAUGCUAUCUUUCAGAGUGUAAGGUUUGAUUUUGUGGAUAACGCUGAGAUAAAAGACAUAACCUCAUUAGAUGCCAAAAACUUCCACUUCAACGUUAUCAGCGGCAAGAACAUGACCUUUGAUAACAUCAAGAUCAUCGCUCCAGCUGAAAGCCCCAACACUGACGGUAUCCAUUUGGGAAGAUGUGAGGGAGUCAAGAUCCUCAACACUAAGAUCGCCACAGGAGAUGACUGCAUCUCCGUGGGAGAUGGGAUGAAGAAUCUCCUCAUUGAGAAAGUUGUGUGCGGUCCAGGACACGGAAUCAGUGUUGGAAGCCUUGGAAGGUACGGAUGGGAGCAAGAUGUCACUGACAUUAACGUUAAGAACUGUACCCUUGAGGGAACCGACAACGGUCUGAGGAUCAAGACAUGGCCAUCUGCCGCUUGCACCACCACCGCUGCCGGUAUUCAUUUUGAGGAUAUCAUCCUUAACAAAGUUAGCAACCCAAUCCUCAUCGACCAGGAGUACUGCCCUUGGAACCAAUGCAACAAGAACGUAAGUAUCUUUUAUUAGAUUCUAUGUCUUGCCACUAUCACCGUAUUCUAUGAAAUUGGAUGGCUCAGCAAACAUAUUAUUCUGAUGGUUUUCUAGAUAUUUAGCAUUCACCAUUUUGGUUGAGGUUACAUAUAUAUGAUUAUGAUCCCAAAGUUUUUUUUUCUAUUUGCAGAAACCAUCAACAAUUAAGCUGGUGGACAUUACCUUCAGGAAUAUUAGAGGAACAUCAGGGAACAAGGACGCAGUAAAACUAUUGUGCAGCAAGGGACAUCCAUGUGAGAACGUUGAGAUUGGAGACAUUAACAUUGAGUACACAGGACCUGACGGUCCACCCACUUUCGAGUGCACAAACGUCACACCUAAGCUUGUGGGAACCCAGAACCCAAAGGCUUGCGUUGGACCUGUGGUCAAGGCUCCUGGCAAAGAGUAAAAUGUUGAAGCUCAUAUCAACACACUAGGGCUUCCACAUCCAAUUUUGUUUAUUCUUUUUCUAAUCCUUUUUCAAGUCACGUAAGGGAGACUUUUACAAAGCUGUAACAAAAAAAUGUUUCUAUCCGAUGCCAACACAUAUAUAGAUGUGUGAGUGCAUAAUGAUGUAAUUAAUAAAACUAAAUUAUAUAUUCUGCGUAUGAUUGUUUCUUUUUAAAAUAUUAAUAUGCGCGGUAAGUUGUAUACACUUCAAUCUUAAUUUUGUUUUCUUUUCCGAAUCUUAAAAUUAUUUAACAAGAUCUGAUUUCAACCUUAAGAUUAAUUUAACUAAUACAGUAUUAGUUUUUUUUUUUUUAGAACUCAUUUUAAACUAGAACUCAAAUCAUUUCAAUAAUAGUUCACUAACAUGUAGUAUUCUUUCCAAGUUAUACUGAACUAGAACUCAAAGAUACACUUGUUCAUACAUAACCGAUGCAAGCAUUUGGACAACGAAACAUGACAUCGUCAUAAGUAAUCUGAUUGGAAAUGUAAUUUUCAAUCAAACUUUCGCUCUUUGCUUAUGAUCUCUUUGGAAAAAAUUUCACUUGAUAAUAUGAGGUGCAUACUCUUCCUCUCUACUUUGGUUCAAUGCUCCUUAAACAUGUUGGAUACUUUUUUAGGCUUCAAUAUAAAAAAGAAGUUAGGAAAAAUUUAUUGAUAUUGUUAGUAAUAUUACUUCUAUGAUAUUGGUACUUCAAAAGAAGCAUGAGUUAUUAUAGAAACUAGGUUAAGAUCUCUGUUUUGCGCAUGAUGAAUUUUAUGUAUACAAAUGAUAUUUUUCUAUUUUUAUUAUUUAUUUUGUGUUUAUUUAUUUCAUAUUUAUAUAAUUAAAUUAGAGUAAACACAUAAAUCAAAACUAUACCUCCUUUUAUUUCUAAUUUUUUUCAUAAAUAAAUCAAUCGUUUUAUUUAUUUUAUAUGAAAUAUAAUUAAUUUGAAUGAUAAUGACAUAGAUAUCUAGUAAAAUUUAAUAUAACUUAUUAAUUGAGAUUUCCUACUCAUAUAAUCUUAUUAACAUUUGUAUAUAUUGCUGUAAAAAAAAUUAAACCAUUAAUUACAAAACUUUCAAUGUGAGAUUUAUUUCAAUACAAAAUUUUAAAUUGAAAUAUUAAGGUCUCAAUACUUUUAAAAUGUAAAUUUCAAAAUUAACGUAUUUAUGUAUUUUUAUAUGGUAUAUAGUUUAAUUUAAACGAUAUUAAGAUAUAUAUAUAUAUAUAUAUUUAAUAUGAAUAUCUAUUAAAUGAGACUUUAUAUUCAUACAAUUUUAUGAUCAUUUUGUAUCUUGUUAUAACAAAAAAAAGUAGUUAAACCAUUGAUUACAAAAUUUCAAUAUGGGCUUUUAACAUUUUUUAGUAAUUUAUAGUUUUUUAAAAUUCAUAAUAUAACAUAUAAGAAAGAGUCUAUAUUUUAAGUAUAUGGUUAAUGUGAUUGUAUAAUUUCUUUUAAUAAUAUAAAAUUAAAUAAAAUAGAUGGAGGUUACAAAAAUUGUUAUCAAAUCUUUAUUAUUCAUAAUCAUUAGUUUUCGUAUAUAUGUUAAUCAUAUUAGGUAAUUUCGUAACUUUUAUUUAGAGAAAUAAUGAAAAUAUUCUUUUGAACAUACAUUACUAAUCAAUUUGAUAGUUAGUUUAAUAAUAAGAUAUAAUAUAUGUUUCGAUAGACCAUCUAUUUUUUUAAGGAUCCUAAGCAUCAUUGUUGUAUUAAUACGUGGAUACAAAAAAAUGUUGCAAUGCUUUUCAAAUAUAUAAAUGAUUAUGUGGUUGAAAGAAAUUAGAAAAAUGCAAUGCAGUUAAGUAAUGAGGAACGAUUGAUUUUUGUUAUUAAAAGACGGAAGUCACGAACCACAUUAAUUAAAGUCAUCGAUUACUGACUGAUGACAACAUAUUUGACAAACAAUAAUAGAAGUUACAUAUAUUAACGCAUAAAGUUACAAAAUACAUAUACAUAUUUGACAAACAAUAAUAGAAGCGACGAAAUACAAACAAACACCUAAAACAAUUAAUUUUCAAAUACAGUCCAGGUUCUCCGAAAGUCGUUUGCUUUGAAAUGCUCUUUUUUAACUUAGUCAUAAACAUCUUCAUCUUUAUAACAUUAAUUAUUUCUUUUAUGAACUGGUUUGCCUUUUUUUCUUCAUGAUAUUGGGUUCAAUAGUUCCAACUUUUGCCUUUUGAAUUGUGUAAAUCUAUUUCACUAUUUGUUGACCAUUUGCAAUUCUUGCUUUUCUUUCAUCAUAUCAUUUUUUGUUGUAUACAUUUCCCUUGAAUGAUGACUAACUUAUACAAAAUUGGAAUCACUUGCAUCAUUUUCGUGGAUUCUUUUAAACCCACUUCUGCCUGACUACAAGAACAUAUUUAAUCACAGAUGAUGACGAGCCCCAUUCCAACAUGUUGAAAUGUAUAGUCUUGGCACUUGAACAUAGCUCAUGCGUUUUUUUUGUCAAUAUAUCAUUAUUCUCUGAUCAUCCAUUUUGUUACAUAGACUUUGCUAUUGUCAGUGCCAACCAUUAUUCCGAUAGUUUUUUCAUGUGGUGUAGUAAUUUUUCUAAACGAAGCAAUUACUGUUCUCUAACAAUUUUGAAAACCAACCAAUGCUAACGUCCAUAUAUAUUUUCCGCAGCCUGCACAACAGGAUUAUCAGAACGUAAAUCUCCUGAAUUUCUUUAAGUUCUAGUACCUUAUAAAAUUCUACUAACAAUUUGAUAUCUUUUUAGAUGGUGUAAAUGUAAUAACAUAAGUUGGCUAGAAACUAACCUCCCAAAAAUAGAGGUAUCAUGCAAAUGCUAUAAACACGAGUGGAACAAGUCUUAUGCCUAACAAUUGAACGCUAAUUUCCCAAAAUUAAAGUAACCUAGCUAAUACUUCCUUAAAAAUGGGUCAAACAUUCUAAAAAAUGAGAAGUUGGGAGAAAGUAUGGGCCUUCAACAUAUCUCUCCAUUUAACGCACUAUAUAAAGCAGCAGGUGCGUAGUAAAAAUCUCAGAAAACAAAAAUUAAAAGACAAUAAAAAAUAAAAAUAAAUAAAUAAAUAUGGGUUCAUAUUUGGGAAUCUAUACAAUUUUGGUUCUAUGUUUGCUAGGAUAUUCAGCCAAUGCUGAGGUGUUCACCGCUGGUGGUCCUCCAAAUUCUGAUAUUACCGCGGUUAGUAUCUUCACUUGUUUUUUAUUACUUGAAUUCCAAUCAAUGUGUAAACCAUUUCUUAUAUUAACAUACUCGUGGGAGCUAUUGUUGCAGGCAGUUCUUAAAGCAUUCACAUCGGCAUGUCAAGCUCCGGCACCAAGCCAGGUGCUGAUCCCAAAAGGUGACUUCAAGCUUGGUGAGACCGUGAUGACUGGUCCAUGCAAAUCUCCAAUCGAGUUCACCUUGCAAGGCAACGUGAAAGCUGACGGUGGCUCUACCCAGGGAAAGGAUAGAUGGGUUGUGUUCGAAAAAAUUAAUGGUUUUAAGUUGAACGGAGGUGGAACAUUUGACGGUGAAGGCAAUGCAGCUUGGAAAGCCAAUAACUGCCACAAGACUUUUGAGUGCAAGAAACUUCCCAUCGUAUGUGUUUAUGUCUUUAAUAUAUUAACACCAAUGGCUUUUUUAAAGAUGAUAUAAUUCAGUGAUGCAUGCUAUCUUUCAGAGCAACUGCCACAAGACUUUUGAGUGCAAGAAACUUCCCAUCGUAGGUGUUUCCGUCUUUAAUAUAUUAACACCAAUGGCUUUUUUUAAAGAUGAUAUAAUUCAGUGAUGCAUGCUAUCUUUCAGAGUGUAAGGUUUGAUUUUGUGGAUAACGCUGAGAUAAAAGACAUAACCUCAUUAGAUGCCAAAAACUUCCACUUCAACGUUAUCAGCGGCAAGAACAUGACCUUUGAUAACAUCAAGAUCAUCGCUCCAGCUGAAAGCCCCAACACUGACGGUAUCCAUUUGGGAAGAUGUGAGGGAGUCAAGAUCCUCAACACUAAGAUCGCCACAGGAGAUGACUGCAUCUCCGUGGGAGAUGGGAUGAAGAAUCUCCUCAUUGAGAAAGUUGUGUGCGGUCCAGGACACGGAAUCAGUGUUGGAAGCCUUGGAAGGUACGGAUGGGAGCAAGAUGUCACUGACAUUAACGUUAAGAACUGUACCCUUGAGGGAACCGACAACGGUCUGAGGAUCAAGACAUGGCCAUCUGCCGCUUGCACCACCACCGCUGCCGGUAUUCAUUUUGAGGAUAUCAUCCUUAACAAAGUUAGCAACCCAAUCCUCAUCGACCAGGAGUACUGCCCUUGGAACCAAUGCAACAAGAACGUAAGUAUCUUUUAUUAGAUUCUAUGUCUUGCCACUAUCACCGUAUUCUAUGAAAUUGGAUGGCUCAGCAAACAUAUUAUUCUGAUGGUUUUCUAGAUAUUUAGCAUUCACCAUUUUGGUUGAGGUUACAUAUAUAUGAUUAUGAUCCCAAAGUUUUUUUUCUAUUUGCAGAAACCAUCAACAAUUAAGCUGGUGGACAUUACCUUCAGGAAUAUUAGAGGAACAUCAGGGAACAAGGACGCAGUGAAACUAUUGUGCAGCAAGGGACAUCCAUGUGAGAACGUUGAGAUUGGAGACAUUAACAUUGAGUACACAGGACCUGACGGUCCACCCACUUUCGAGUGCACAAACGUCACACCUAAGCUUGUGGGAACCCAGAACCCAAAGGCUUGCGUUGGACCUGUGGUCAAGGCUCCUGGCAAAGAGUAAAAUGUUGAAGCUCAUAUCAACACAUUAGGGCUUCCACAUCCAAUUUUGUUUAUUCUUUUUCUAAUUCUUUUUCAAGUCACGUAAGGAGACUUUUACAAAGCUGUAACAAAAAAAUGUUUCUAUCGAUGCCAACACAUAAUGUGUGAGUGCAUUAUGAUUUAAUAAAACUAAAAAGAUUUAUCUAUC
This 10028-nucleotide long non-coding RNA is filed under the name Brassica napus (rape). RNAcentral describes it as "long non-coding RNA (BNAP_LNC000971)". Lineage: Eukaryota; Viridiplantae; Streptophyta; Magnoliopsida; Brassicales; Brassicaceae. The record is from RNAcentral.